Molecule: long non-coding RNA, 681 nt
Organism: Homo sapiens (human)
Lineage: Eukaryota; Metazoa; Chordata; Mammalia; Primates; Hominidae
Product: long intergenic non-protein coding RNA 467
Source: Ensembl
GGGUUUCGCGGCGCUCGCCGCACUGGUUGUUCAGCACCUUCGGUCCGGUUGAGGUUGUCAAGUCGGACCAAACAGGUUGUUUCUCUGCAGUUUCCAACAUGGCAGGGAGGUUUAAUAGACAUGGAUAAGAAGUCCACUCACAGAAAUCCUGAAGAUGCCAGGGCUGGCAAAUAUGAAGGUAAACACAAACGAAAGAAAAGAAGAAAGCAAAACCAAAACCAGCACCGAUCCCGACAUAGAUCAGUGACGUCUUUUUCUUCAGAUGAUCCUAUGUUUCCUUCUUCCUCAUCAUCGUCUUCAGGAAGCCAGACAGAUUCAAGUAUUGAAGAUGCUGCCAAGGGAAAAAUUAAGAAGAAGAGAAGAGAGAAAACAAAUAAAUGGGAAAAAAGAAAGGACAAAAUAUGAAACACCAAGAAAAAGAGAAGGAAAAAAAGGAGGAAACAACCACAUAUGUCACCUUUCCAAGGGACUGAAACUGGGCUGACCCUUUUGAUUUCCAAGCUCAGCGUUUUGGUGUAAGGCGGCCAAAGAAGGAUGCGGAGCCCAGCACUGUGAAGCCUACAAAAACAUUGAUGCGCUGGCUUGGGGAUUUGAAUUUGAACAUCUUUCACACUAAGUUCAGACUCAUGAAACCAAUCUUCAGAUGCUCUGUAAACCACAUAAUAAAGAGUUUGGAAAUUA